Paramuricea clavata is the source of this 684-nucleotide non-coding RNA. Lineage: Eukaryota; Metazoa; Cnidaria; Anthozoa; Malacalcyonacea; Plexauridae. The record is from the annotation of a GenBank genome assembly.
AUAUCCAUUUCUUGUUUUUCCUUUGAUAGGUUUUAACAAGAUAGAACUCUAGAUCACUUGGGUCCAAAGACGCUAGAUUAUAAAAUCCUGAUGUGACUUGACACUAUACAAAUAGAAUAUGUCUUGUGAUUUAAUACUAAAAAAUAGAAUGACUUUUAAGUACAAACUUCAAUGAAUUGAUAAAGUGUAAGGAUAGUGUUUAAAGUCGCUUCAUGUGUAGAAGCUGAAUUACUUUAGUUUAUACACUGUAAUGUCGAUAUCACAUGUUGAUAUGACUUUAAUACUAGCUACUUGCAAUAAGUGGUCUGUUCUGCUUGUGAGUUAUAAUACUUUAGAGUUUGGACAUUAGAACAUUGUAAUUGCCUGACAGAGACUGUUAGGGCCUGUUUAUAUGGAAGCCGGGCUGGCCCACUUAGCGAGAUAGCCCGGUAAGGUAGAUAAGCAGGAUGAUUUCUCUUGUGUUUAUUUGAGAAAAUUUCAUCCCGCUUACCGGGACAAUUUUGUUGUUUUGACAUUGUUUUGACAGUUGUUAAAAAUAGCUUGCGGGAGUAUCGUUGAACUUUCAUCCUGGCAACCGGGCUAGCCUGCUUGUGAUUGUUUAUAUGGAGUAAUUUCCAUCCUGGUCUCGGCAACCGGGCCUGCCCGCUUGUCCAUAGAAACAAUAAUUUUUACUAUAAAAAUAAC